This 404-nucleotide ribosomal RNA is filed under the name Actinomycetes bacterium. RNAcentral's name for it is "Actinobacteria bacterium partial 16S ribosomal RNA". It matches the Rfam family "Bacterial small subunit ribosomal RNA", at positions 355 to 776 of the family's 1533-position model. The record is from RNAcentral. Lineage: Bacteria; Bacillati; Actinomycetota; Actinomycetes.
UGGGGAAUAUUGGACAAUGGGCGCAAGCCUGAUCCAGCCAUGCCGCGUGAGUGAUGAAGGCCCUAGGGUUGUAAAGCUCUUUCACCGGUGAAGAUAAUGACGGUAACCGGAGAAGAAGCCCCGGCUAACUUCGUGCCAGCAGCCGCGGUAAUACGAAGGGGGCUAGCGUUGUUCGGAUUUACUGGGCGUAAAGCGCACGUAGGCGGACUUUUAAGUCAGGGGUGAAAUCCCGGGGCUCAACCCCGGAACUGCCUAUGAUACUGGAAGUCUUGAGUAUGAUGGAGGUGAGUGGUAUUCCGGGUGUAGAGGUAAAAUUCGUAGAUAUUCGGAGGAACACCAGUGGCGAAGGCAGCUCACUGAACCAUUACUAACGCUGAGGUGCGAAAGCGUGGGGAGCAAACAGG